This 204-nucleotide long non-coding RNA is filed under the name Gossypium barbadense (sea-island cotton). Its description in RNAcentral is "long non-coding RNA (GBAR_LNC010054)". The record is from RNAcentral. Lineage: Eukaryota; Viridiplantae; Streptophyta; Magnoliopsida; Malvales; Malvaceae.
AGAAGUCAAAAUAUGUUCUCGUUGAUUUCAUUAGAAACUAGACUCAUUAAGCUUUAAUUACAUAAUUUAUUCAGCUUCUAACUCCACUCCCACAAUUUAUGGUGAUUUUCCAAAUUCACGUUACAGCUGCUGUCCCAAGCAGAUUUACUACAAUUUACUCUUUCACAACUCUUUGCAUUCAUAUUAUUUAAACAUGUAUAUCAC